Chiloscyllium plagiosum (whitespotted bambooshark) is the source of this 480-nucleotide long non-coding RNA. RefSeq lists it as uncharacterized. The record is from RefSeq and is a predicted model, not a curated record. NCBI's taxonomy places the organism in Eukaryota, Metazoa, Chordata, Chondrichthyes, Orectolobiformes, Hemiscylliidae.
AGUCACGACAAUUCAAAAGAGCUUAUUUGGCUGUAAAGUGCUUCAAGAUGUCUACUGGACCUCAGAAUUUCUAAAUAACAAUUGACAGCAAGACUGACAAAGAGGGACAACUACUGAUGGUUUCCAAUUUUCACACAAGUCAAGAUGUUGGAUUCUGUCAUUCUAUACUGACACCUUCAAUGAAUAUGAAUACUCCAAAAGAAAAUAUCAACAAGUAGCUACUAUGGUUGUAGAAGAUGGGGUGUCAUAAACUCUUUGGAAAAUGGGCCUUUGUUCAAUCAAGCAAAUUAUUUUUAUUCAUUUAACUAUAAUCAAAGAUUUUAGAACACUUACUACCAAAAGAAUUUAAUUCAAGUGUAACAUGAAACAAGAACCACACAUUAUUAUUUAGCAUUUUUAUUAAAGCAAGCAUUCUAUAAUCCAAACGUUCCGUUUCAGUUUCUAAUGCUCAACCAUCAAACACACUGCUAACUAAAAACA